This 3878-nucleotide unclassified non-coding RNA is filed under the name Hevea brasiliensis (rubber tree). The record is from RNAcentral. Lineage: Eukaryota; Viridiplantae; Streptophyta; Magnoliopsida; Malpighiales; Euphorbiaceae.
CGAAAAGAAGAAUGCUCAUGAAAUCUUUGGUCCGAAAAAAUUAGAAGAAUAGCCAGCAACAGAGUACAAUAUUUAAUUUAGUUAUGUUAGCUACAUUGCAAGCACAAAAUAUUUUUGGCAGAUGAAGCAAGAUUUGACAUAUGUACAGAAUUGUAUAGUUUUACCCUUCAGCAUAAUCCAGUCGCACAAAAUUCUAAUAUUUCAAGGCAUGCCGCCAAUAUUUCUCGCAUAGAUAGUAAACCAGGCAUAAAAGUGUUCAAGGAUCUUGCCAAUGUGAGCUGCUUCUUCCGGGAUGCCUAAGCCAUAAGAAGGUAAUGAAGAGGAGUGGCAAUUUAACAGUCUGUGUUGCCAAAUGCAGUUAGAGCUGCUGGAGUUCAUUUAAAUCUGGUCUUGUUGGAUAUUCAAAACCCCGAAGCACUGUCAUGCGUUUCAAAUCAUCUUCAGAAUAAGCAGGGAUGAGCCAGUACCUCUUGUCCAUCCCAAACACCUGUUCAAAGUUUUUCUUCCGUCCAAGAUCAUAUCGCCAUUUAGGAUCAGUUUUCUUCUCAUAUGCCUGGAAAAAGAAAAUCGAGAAAGAAAAAGAGUUUUAUAUGAAACAGUAGCUCAAACCUUGUUCCUAACAUGUGGGAGAGAAAGGUAACCAUAUAUAGCAGAAGGCAUCACCUCAAUGGCGGUUGUAUUUGCUAGUACUAAUGAAAUGUGCAUAAUCAGGAAGUGCCCAUAACACUCAAUGCAAAUGAUAAGUUCAAUACUGAAAUAGUUGAACAAUAACAAUAAGGAUACAAAAUUAACUCAAACCAUAAUAUCACAUACAAGUUUCUGUCCAACUCACCAAAUAUAAUAAAAGUGGCAACAAAGGUUCCCGGCGUUCCAGAUAUUUCACCCCAUUAUGUAAAAAAUGCUAUAAAUAACCGCAAUAAUGAUAAAGUAACAAGAGUUGUCUCAAGAAAUGUGUAAACCUGCAUAAGAAAAUAAACAGAAGAAUCCCAUAGAUAUUACAUAGCAGUUGGUUUCAAUAGAAAAAUAUGUUUGUAGGAGAGAUUUGCAUGCAACUUACAUGAUAUGGAUGUCAACACUCAACACUCAACAUACCUAGCAAAAUUGCUUUGUCUAAAUCAAAAGAAGAAAAGAGGAAGAGAGUUGGGGUUACCUUUGGGGGUAUUAGGGGAGAACUAGCCCAAUAACUUAGAUGGAAUAAGCACAUCCACAUGGUUCAAAAGCUUAUAUUUAUAUUGUAGUAGCACACUUCCCCAACUUUUACAUGCAAUGAAUCUGUUCAAUAUUUUUCCAAAAUGGGAUUUGGAGUACCACUUUUCCGUCUAGGUAGACUAAUAGCCUAACUAUUUGGAUAGAGCAUGUUGAUCUGUAUGAAAUUAAGAACCAGAAGUUCAGUUUAUAGGAGAGAGUCUGUCCAUGUGGCCAAAAAGGUUGUUAGCAAAUCCAUUUGCUAUUCAUUUGAUGUGGGAUCCACAUGCUACAUUACAUUUGUAAUUCAUUUUUUAGUGAUGAAAAUAAACGCAAUUUUAUUUGCUAUCCUUUUUAUGGGGCCUAACAUGCUCAUAGAUGGCAGGAUUCUAAUGUGAAAGGUCGAAUAUACACAAAGUACCCACUCUGCACACAUAAUUGUACCGCAGAGGAAAAAUAAUCUAUAGUUUUUCUUCUAGAAAGUAAUAUUAUGAAAACACCAACCAUAUAGCGUUGAAUGAAAAUUUUUUACUGACCAAGUUUAGGAGCUGACCAACACAAACCUUGUUACGAAGAUUUGAAACAUAUCCAGAACAUCUAUUUUUUAUAUGCAUGAGGAAAGUUAAUAGUCAGCUAGAUGGAGAAAAAUAAUCCAUGUAGCUCACCCCAACUAAAUUGAGAUCGAGACAAAAUUUACUUAUGGAAAAUUUAUUUUGAACAUAAACCUCAAACAAGUAACAUAAGAGUCCAUCUAGUUCAAAAUCAUUAAUAUCCAUGCCAUUCUAGCAUAUGGAUUAACACAGUCAAGUUUCGAACAAUAAUUAGCAUACCAAGAAAAGAAGGAAAUACUUGUAGUUCAAUGCCCCAACACAAUUGACAACCCAAACACAAUGAUGGUCCAUUUUCAAUAUACAUCUUCCACAAACAGAACAAUGAUGACAUCGAGGUGGUUAAAAUUGGUUGCACUUUCGACAGAAUCGCAUUCUUUGGUUAGCUGGCUCACCAAGUACAGAUUACUGGUUUAAACCUAAAUUUGCACCGCCGUGCUCUAACCCUAUCAAUGGAUCUGCAUCACCUCUCUCCUCAUCAAUUGAUGGCCUCCAACUUGUUGGGACACCACCUGGAUCCGUUAGAACAGUAGCAAAGUAGCUCCAUAAUAGCAUCACCAACUACAUAAUGGAAAUCAACAAACAGAAGUUCAGCAUGAUAGAUUUAUUUUUGAGAUCAUCAAGCGUCAUUAUUCAUGUUGUAGAGUGCUAUCAUGUUCUCCAAAUACCUUCACCGAUAUCAUCCAACUUUUGGUGGAUAACAUGGCAUCUACUCAUUAUGCACAGACGGAAGGCAGCACAUAUCUGGUAACUUGUCACAUCAGUCAACAGUUAUAUGGGUAAAUGGGUGAGCCUUGGCACAAUGGUAAGGUUAGUCCUUUGUAACCGAAAGGUCAUGAGUUCAAUUAGUAGAAACAGCCUCUUUGCACCAAAAAGAAGAAAAAAAGAAAGGAGGUAAGGGAAAGGUUGCAUAUGAUAGAUGAUCCUUUCAAGAUACUUGCAAAGUGAGAAGCCUUGUGCACUGGGAUGUCUUUUUGUCUGUUAUCGUUUUCCUUUAUUUAUUUUGCUAAACAUAAGAGAUUCAAAACCUUUUAAGUCCUACAACACACAAUCUUUUUUCCCAAAUUAUCCAACCAAUCACAUACAAACUACAACGAAAAAUACCAGAAAAUUUCAUCAAUCUCUUGGACAGAAUGGCUAGUCCCACCAAACAGUACCUUGACAAAAUAAAGUCAGCACAAAUUCUUUUUAUAGUUGAAAAGAAACUAAAGCAAAGUGAGUAAAAACUAUAGCUAUUUUGCAUAUCAUAAAACAGCAUAAUCUAUAACAUUAGCAUAUUUUAGUUUAAAAUUGAUUCUUAGAUAGCCAGCCAACUGCAAUUGCACACAAGUUAUGAACCAUGGUUACGGUGUGGACAGCCUAAUUUAUAAACUUCAGAGGAUGCAAAACGUAGCAUGGCAAAGAUAUACUAAUAAAUAUAUAAUGUCUUCAUAUCUAUAUAUGAUUUCUGCUAAAAAUCAAAACUUUUAGAUCAUAACUCAAUAAUGAACUAAAAAAUUCCACAUAACAUGUGCAAUAAAUUCUUUCUAUAUUUCUACUAAUGAUAUCAUUCCUCUAACCAUGAAAAACAAUAUAAUUUCUAAUGUGUAUCCACCAAUUCCUUGAACCAUGCAAAAAGGAUCAAAUGCAGUCUCAAAGCUAAAAGUCUUUCUUUGAAAGUGCGGAUACAGUUUAGUAGUAUCAAACACGUACAUAUAAUUGCUUGAAUGUGGAAUGAAUCCAAAAGGGAUCACGCGCCCCAUAUUAAUUAUUGCAACAUAAUACUCUUUGGUGAUUUCAAUAAGAAAUGCCACCUUGCCAUCCAUCGCACAACAGAAUUCAGCUAAAAUCCGUUCAUCAAAAGGUAGUUGAAUCCAAGUCAAACUCAAGAAACAACAUUCCUUAAGACUACUAACUAAACCAGGUCCAGAAACAACAGUUCUAGUUUUGGUAUUAAUCCUUCCUGACACAUUCCUUACACUAGCUAAAGCAACCCAUAAUGCAAUUCAUCAGCAUUGAAGAAAUAGGCAUAUUAUUGAUCUUUUUGUUAAUGAAAGUAAAAGUGAAAGGCUAAUGGAACUCACCAAAGAAUGGAACAAAAGCAAG